Molecule: ribosomal RNA, 138 nt
Filed under: uncultured bacterium
Lineage: Bacteria
Description: partial 16S ribosomal RNA
Rfam family: Bacterial small subunit ribosomal RNA
Source: RNAcentral
UGGGGAAUAUUGCACAAGUGGGGGAAACCCUGAUGCAGCGACGCCGCGUGAAGGAAGAAGUAUCUCGGUAUGUAAACUUCUAUCAGCAGGGAAGAUAAUGACGGUACCUGACUAAGAAGCCCCGGCUAACUACGUGCC